ACUCCUACGGGAGGCAGCAGUGGGGAAUAUUGGACAAUGGGCGCAAGCCUGAUCCAGCCAUGCCGCGUGAGUGAUGAAGGCCCUAGGGUUGUAAAGCUCUUUCACCGGUGAAGAUAAUGACGGUAACCGGAGAAGAAGCCCCGGCUAACUUCGUGCCAGCAGCCGCGGUAAUACGAAGGGGGCUAGCGUUGUUCGGAUUUACUGGGCGUAAAGCGCACGUAGGCGGACUAUUAAGUCAGGGGUGAAAUCCCGGGGCUCAACCCCGGAACUGCCUUUGAUACUGGUAGUCUUGAGUUCGAGAGAGGUGAGUGGAAUUCCGAGUGUAGAGGUGAAAUUCGUAGAUAUUCGGAGGAACACCAGUGGCGAAGGCGGCUCACUGGCUCGAUACUGACGCUGAGGUGCGAAAGCGUGGGGAGCAAACAGGAUUAGAAACCCUGGUAGUCCC
RNAcentral lists this ribosomal RNA (445 nucleotides) under uncultured organism. Its description in RNAcentral is "partial 16S ribosomal RNA". It matches the Rfam family "Bacterial small subunit ribosomal RNA", at positions 335 to 797 of the family's 1533-position model. The record is from RNAcentral.